UACGAAGGGUGCAAGCGUUACUCGGAAUUACUGGGCGUAAAGCGUGCGUAGGUGGUGAGUUAAGUCUGUCGUGAAAGCCCCGGGCUCAACCUGGGAAUGGCGAUGGAUACUGGCUCGCUAGAGUGCGGUAGAGGAGAGUGGAAUUCCCGGUGUAGCAGUGAAAUGCGUAGAGAUCGGGAGGAACAUCAGUUGCGAAGGCGGCUCUCUGGACCAGCACUGACACUGAGGCACGAAAGCCAGGGGAGCAAACGGG
Molecule: ribosomal RNA, 253 nt
Filed under: uncultured bacterium
Lineage: Bacteria
Description: partial 16S ribosomal RNA
Rfam family: Bacterial small subunit ribosomal RNA
Source: RNAcentral